GAUGAACGCUGGCGGCGUGCCUAAUACAUGCAAGUCGAGCGAACAGACGAGGAGCUUGCUCCUCUGACGUUAGCGGCGGACGGGUGAGUAACACGUGGAUAACCUACCUAUAAGACUGGGAUAACUUCGGGAAACCGGAGCUAAUACCGGAUAAUAUAUUGAACCGCAUGGUUCAAUAGUGAAAGACGGUUUUGCUGUCACUUAUAGAUGGAUCCGCGCCGCAUUAGCUAGUUGGUAAGGUAACGGCUUACCAAGGCAACGAUGCGUAGCCGACCUGAGAGGGUGGUCGGACACACUGGAAGUGAGACACGGUCCAGACUCCUACGGGAGGCCGCAGUAGGGAAUCUUACGGAAUGGGCGAAAGCCUGACGGAGCAACGCCGGGGGAGGGAUGAAGGUCUUCGGAUCGUAAAACUCUGUUAUUAGGGAAGAACAAAUGUGUAAGUAACUAUGCACGUCUUGACGGUACCUAAUCAGAAAGCCACGGCUAACUACGUG
Molecule: ribosomal RNA, 497 nt
Filed under: uncultured bacterium
Lineage: Bacteria
Description: partial 16S ribosomal RNA
Rfam family: Bacterial small subunit ribosomal RNA
Source: RNAcentral